AUUGAACGCUGGCGGAAUGCUUUACACAUGCAAGUCGAGCGGCAGCGCGGGGCAACCUGGCGGCGAGCGGCGAACGGGUGAGUAACAUAUCGGAACGUACCCAUUGGUGGGGGAUAACACAUCGAAAGAUGUGCUAAUACCGCAUACGACCUGAGGGUGAAAGGGGGGGAUCGCAAGACCUCUCGCCGUUGGAGCGGCCGAUAUCGGAUUAGCUAGUUGGUGGGGUAAAGGCUCACCAAGGCGACGAUCCGUAGCUGGUCUGAGAGGACGACCAGCCACACUGGGACUGAGACACGGCCCAGACUCCUACGGGAGGCAGCAGUGGGGAAUUUUGGACAAUGGGGGCAACCCUGAUCCAGCCAUUCCGCGUGAGUGAAGAAGGCCUUCGGGUUGUAAAGCUCUUUCAGCAGGAACGAAACGGUGUGGGUUAAUACCCUGCAUCAAUGACGGUACCUGAAGAAGAAGCACCGGCUAACUACGUGCCAGCAGCCGCAGUAA
Molecule: ribosomal RNA, 498 nt
Filed under: uncultured bacterium
Lineage: Bacteria
Description: partial 16S ribosomal RNA
Rfam family: Bacterial small subunit ribosomal RNA
Source: RNAcentral